Molecule: long non-coding RNA, 1270 nt
Filed under: Homo sapiens (human)
Lineage: Eukaryota; Metazoa; Chordata; Mammalia; Primates; Hominidae
Description: HSALNT0087470
Source: RNAcentral
CUGGAGACCUGUGGAAGACUGUGUGGAACACUCCUCAGGAGCAAGGAAAACUGAGACAGAGUCUUGCUGUGUCGCCAGCCAGAGUGCAAUGGCACGAUCUCGGUUCACCACAACCUCCGUCCCUUGGGUUCAAGCGAUUCUCCUGCCUCAGCCUCCUGAGUAGCUGGGACUACAGGUGCUCACCACGCCCAGCUAAUUUUUGUAUUUUUAGUAGAGACGGGGUUUCACCAUGUUGGCCAGUAUGGUCUCAAUCUCUUGACCUUGUGAUCCACCCACCUCAGCCCUCCAAAGUGCUGGGAUUACAGGCGUGAGCCACCGCUCCGGGCCAAGACUCUAAUCUUUCUAUAGUGUUUGCUUAACCUAAUUCAUGAUAAUUUAUUUCUGCGAUUUCCAUGUUUUCUUUUUUAAUUGCUACUUUAUUUUACUGAGGGUUUUCCCUGCAUUUUAUCUGAGAGAAUACUUGUGGCCUGUCUUUAAGAAACAGCUUUGAAGUAGAUUUACCAGGUGACUUAAUGGUAAUCCCUGUCUUAGGAAUAAUAUGAUGUAUAUUGUUAAAAUUAACAGUAUAUUCAUUUUAACCUCAAACCUGGGAUAGCCGAAGGACUAAAAUUUCUCUUUGGAGAUAUAUACGUGUAAAACAUAGAGCCUAGACAGAGACAGACAAACUUCCUUGCUAUCUUCCUGUGAUGCUGGGCAAUUUAAAAAUUUAAUCAUCUAUCAAAUGUGUAGACUUUUGAGGGCCCCUGUUCUGCUCCAUUCUCUCAGUUCCCGUUCUUUGUCAUGCAUAGGUUGCAUAGGCCAUGCAUGUCCUCUGUCUCAUCUUGUAAAUACAACCUGAGUUUUGAAAAUACCGGGAGGAAAAGUACAUCGCCUCAGGUUCCACUCACAUGCUUACCCUUUGGUUUUUGGUUUCCAUCUUAUUUCUGGUACCUACAGGUUUCCUUUUCUUUGUUGAAAACGUAGCUAUGCAUUUAAAAUGUUUUGUUAUAUGUUACCAGCCCAUUUUGUUAUAUGCUAACCAUGUUACAUGUUACAUUUAGUUAUUUACACUUUUAGAGUUUCUAGUUAUCUUAAUCAGCCAUCCUGCUAAAAAUUGAAGUUGCAUUUUAUAUAUCUUUAAGAAUCAUUUGGAAAGAUAAUUUAUCUUUUUAAUGGGAAUAACAAUGACUAGCAAGCUUAUUUUGAUAAAAUUAGAUGCUGUUUUGUAUACUGCUAAAAUAUAAUAUUUUUAAAAUGUGCACCACAUAAAAUGUGUGACUGUAUAUUUGUG